Cyanistes caeruleus (blue tit) is the source of this 489-nucleotide non-coding RNA. Lineage: Eukaryota; Metazoa; Chordata; Aves; Passeriformes; Paridae. The record is from RefSeq and is a predicted model, not a curated record.
AGUCAGCACUUGCAAUUUUCUCCUAAUGAGUGGAGUAUGUUAUUUACCCUUUUAUAACUGGAAAAGACUUUGUUUCCCUGAACCUUGACUUCAUGCUGGCUUUCCUGGAGGAGCUGAACCAUGCCUCAUUCUCUGUUAUUCACAGCAGUGAGACCCUCUUACUUCCAUUUGACAUAAACAAAGGGUUAAAAAAUUCUGAGACAUCUUACAACUGUUAGAAACCAUUUCAAAGAAAGCUUUUUGCCCUGAAUACAGCUUCUUGAAAAGUAAGCAUAAAAAGACAUUGCCAUUUUAGCAGCAUCUUUUGAACAGGACUCAAUCUGUGGUAUAAAUUGUAAAGUUCUGAGGUAAGGUCCUGUGCUACCUACAUAUUUAUUUAUUUAUUUUCAACUCCUGGAGUUUGCAUUUUUCUUUCUCCCUGUCCUGUUAGAGUUACAUAAAGAGCUUGGUGGUUAAAUCUCUGAAUAUAGCUUCAAUUACAGAUAGCUG